This 329-nucleotide ribosomal RNA is filed under the name Mesabolivar huberi. RNAcentral's name for it is "partial 12S ribosomal RNA". The record is from RNAcentral. Lineage: Eukaryota; Metazoa; Arthropoda; Arachnida; Araneae; Pholcidae.
AAUAAUAAUUAAAAAGGUAGUAAUAAAUAAUAAAACCUAUAAAGCUUGGCAGUUAUACUAAACUAGAGAAACUUGUUUCUUAAUCGAUAACACUCGAUAAUUUUAACUUAUUAACCAAAAUCUAUAUACCGCCGUUUACAGAAAUGAUAAAAAUUAAAUUUCAAAAUAAUUAAAAAUUAAAAAAUCAGGUCAAGGUAUAGUCAACAUAUAAGAGUAAAUUAGUUACAUAUAAGUAAUACUUAAGAACUAGAGAAUAAAAAUUCUCCUAAAAAAGAAUCUAUAAACAACAUUUUUUUAAAAUAAAAUAAUGAAAUAUAAAACUAUAAUGC